AACGAACGCUGGCGGCAUGCCUAAUACAUGCAAGUCGAACGAGAAAGCACUUCGGUGUGAGUAAAGUGGCGCACGGGUGCGUAACACGUAGGUAAUCUGCCUUGAAGUUGGGGACAACAGUUGGAAACGACUGCUAAUACCGAAUAAUCAGAUCAAACUUGAAAGUAGAUCUGCAAAGGGGGCUUCGGCUCUCGCUUUUAGAGGAGCCUGCGGAACAUUAGCUUGAUGGUGGGGUAAUGGCCUACCAUGGCUAUGAUGUUUAGCUGGUCUGAGAGGAUGAUCAGCCACACUGGAACUGAGACACGGUCCAG
Molecule: ribosomal RNA, 311 nt
Filed under: uncultured bacterium
Lineage: Bacteria
Description: bacterial SSU rRNA
Rfam family: Bacterial small subunit ribosomal RNA
Source: RNAcentral